RNAcentral lists this ribosomal RNA (564 nucleotides) under uncultured bacterium. RNAcentral's name for it is "bacterial SSU rRNA". It matches the Rfam family "Bacterial small subunit ribosomal RNA", at positions 338 to 916 of the family's 1533-position model. The record is from RNAcentral.
CCUACGGGAGGCAGCAGUGGGGAAUUUUCCGCAAUGGGCGAAAGCCUGACGGAGCAAUACCGCGUGAGGGACGAAAGCCUGUGGGUUGUAAACCUCUUUUCUCAAGGAAGAAGUUCUGACGGUACUUGAGGAAUAAGCAUCGGCUAACUCUGUGCCAGCAGCCGCGGUAAUACAGAGGAUGCAAGCGUUAUCCGGAAUCACUGGGCAUAAAGCGUCUGUAGGUUGCCUACCAAGUCUGCUGUUAAAGAUCGGGGCCUAACCCUGAGAAAGCAGUGGAAACUAGUAGGCUUGAGUGUGGUAGAGGUAGAGGGAAUUCCUGGUGUAGCGGUGAAAUGCGUAGAUAUUAGGAAGAACACCAACGGCGAAAGCACUCUACUGGGCCAUAACUGACACUGAGAGACGACAGCUAGGGGAGCAAAUGGGAUUAGAUACCCCAGUAGUCCUAGCCGUAAACGAUGGAUACUAGGUGUUGCACGUAUUAACCCGUGCAGUAUCGUAGCUAAGGCGUUAAGUAUCCCGCCUGGGAAGUACGCUCGCAAGAGUGAAACUCAAAGGAAUUGACGG